RNAcentral lists this ribosomal RNA (462 nucleotides) under uncultured bacterium. RNAcentral's name for it is "partial 16S ribosomal RNA". It matches the Rfam family "Bacterial small subunit ribosomal RNA", at positions 29 to 507 of the family's 1533-position model. The record is from RNAcentral.
AUGAACGCUGACAGAAUGCUUCACACAUGCAAGUCGAUGGGGAAGUGGUGCUUGCACCAUGGUAACCAUGGCGGACGGGUGAGUAACGCGUAAGGAACUUGCCUGCGGGACUGGGAUAACAGCAGGAAACUGCUGAUAAUACCGGAUAAGGUCAUUAAGCUGCAUAGCUUAGUGAUGAAAGGAGACGCCUGCGGAGAGCCUUGCGUCCUAUUAGCUAGUUGGAGGGGUAACGGCCCACCAAGGCGAAGAUAGGUAGCCGGCCUGAGAGGGUGGACGGCCACAAGGGGACUGAGAUACGGCCCUUACUCCUACGGGAGGCAGCAGUGGGGAAUAUUGGACAAUGGGGGCAACCCUGAUCCAGCAAUUCUGUGUGCACGAAGACGGUUUUCGGAUUGUAAAGUGCUUUCAGCAGGGAAGAAGGAAGUGACGGUACCUGCAGAAGAAGCGACGGCUAAAUACGUG